UAGUCCACGCCCUAAACGAUGUACACUAGUUGUUGCUAUGCUAGACAUAGCAGUAAUGCAGUUAACACAUUAAGUGUACCGCCUGGGGAGUACGGUCGCAAGAUUAAAACUCAAAGGAAUAGACGGGGACCCGCACAAGCGGUGGAGCAUGUGGUUUAAUUCGACGAUACGCGAAGAACCUUACCUGGUCUUGACAUAAGAAGAACACCCUAGAGAUAGAGUAGUGCUAGCUUGCUAGAACUUCUAUACAGGUGCUGCACGGCUGUCGUCAGCUCGUGUCGUGAGAUGUUGGGUUAAGUCCCGCAACGAGCGCAACCCUCGUGUUUAGUUACUAACAGUUCGGCUGAGGACUCUAGACAGACUGCCUUCGCAAGGAGGAGGAAGGUGAGGACGACGUCAAGUCAUCAUGGCCCUUACGACCAGGGCUACACACGUGCUACAAUGGGGCAUACAAAGAGCAGCAAUACGGUGACGUGGAGCAAAUCUA
This 487-nucleotide ribosomal RNA is filed under the name uncultured bacterium. Its description in RNAcentral is "bacterial SSU rRNA". It matches the Rfam family "Bacterial small subunit ribosomal RNA", at positions 791 to 1275 of the family's 1533-position model. The record is from RNAcentral.